Molecule: ribosomal RNA, 586 nt
Filed under: Macrococcoides caseolyticum
Lineage: Bacteria; Bacillati; Bacillota; Bacilli; Caryophanales; Staphylococcaceae
Description: bacterial SSU rRNA
Rfam family: Bacterial small subunit ribosomal RNA
Source: RNAcentral
UGAGUAACACGUGGGUAACCUACCUAUAAGACUGGGAUAACUUCGGGAAACCGGAGCUAAUACCGGAUAAUAUUUAGCUUCGCAUGAAGCAAUAGUGAAAGACGGUUUUGCUGUCACUUAUAGAUGGACCCGCGGUGUAUUAGCUAGUUGGUGAGGUAACGGCUCACCAAGGCAACGAUACAUAGCCGACCUGAGAGGGUGAUCGGCCACACUGGGACUGAGACACGGCCCAGACUCCUACGGGAGGCAGCAGUAGGGAAUCUUCCGCAAUGGACGAAAGUCUGACGGAGCAACGCCGCGUGAGUGAAGAAGGUUUUCGGAUCGUAAAACUCUGUUGUAAGGGAAGAACAAGUACGUUAGUAACUGAACGUACCUUGACGGUACCUUACCAGAAAGCCACGGCUAACUACGUGCCAGCAGCCGCGGUAAUACGUAGGUGGCAAGCGUUAUCCGGAAUUAUUGGGCGUAAAGCGCGCGUAGGCGGUUUCUUAAGUCUGAUGUGAAAGCCCCCGGCUCAACCGGGGGAGGGGUCAUUUGGGAAACUGGGGAGACUUGAGUACAGAAGAGGAGAGUGGAAUUCCAUGUG